This 77-nucleotide transfer RNA is filed under the name Amphiplicatus metriothermophilus. RNAcentral describes it as "tRNA-Arg". It matches the Rfam family "tRNA". Rfam says of the family: Transfer RNA (tRNA) molecules are approximately 80 nucleotides in length. RNAcentral also lists the same sequence under 2 other names. The record is from RNAcentral. Lineage: Bacteria; Pseudomonadati; Pseudomonadota; Alphaproteobacteria; Parvularculales; Parvularculaceae.
GACCCCGUAGCUCAGCAGGAUAGAGCAUCAGAUUCCUAAUCUGAGGGCCGCAGGUUCGAAUCCUGCCGGGGUCGCCA